This 447-nucleotide ribosomal RNA is filed under the name uncultured bacterium. Its description in RNAcentral is "bacterial SSU rRNA". It matches the Rfam family "Bacterial small subunit ribosomal RNA", at positions 328 to 793 of the family's 1533-position model. The record is from RNAcentral.
CGCUUUCACUCCUACGGGAGGCAGCAGUGGGGAAUCUUGGACAAUGGGGGCAACCCUGAUCCAGCCAUGCCGCGUGAGUGAUGAAGGCCUUAGGGUCGUAAAGCUCUUUCGCCUGUGAAGAUAAUGACGGUAGCAGGUAAGAAACCCCGGCUAACUCCGUGCCAGCAGCCGCGGUAAUACGGAGGGGGUUAGCGUUGUUCGGAAUUACUGGGCGUAAAGCGCACGUAGGCGGAUCGGAAAGUUGGGGGUGAAAUCCCGGGGCUCAACCCCGGAACUGCCUCCAAAACUAUCGGUCUAGAGUUCGAGAGAGGUGAGUGGAAUUCCGAGUGUAGAGGUGAAAUUCGUAGAUAUUCGGAGGAACACCAGUGGCGAAGGCGGCUCACUGGCUCGAUACUGACGCUGAGGUGCGAAAGUGUGGGGAGCAAACAGGAUUAGAUACCCUGGUAG